CAGGAUACUUGUAACUUGAAACUAAAUAAUCUAUUAAGAAGUUAUGCUACUACAUUUUACUUCUACUGUCGCUAAAAACAUUUGCAACUGCAUUUUUGACUAAUAGGUUUAAGAAACGGCACCUUUUAUUUUCCUUGUUUCCAGGAAGGUAUUUCUGGAGUUGCCAAGAUUUGCACUGGAGCCUCAACUUACUCUGGAUCUACAUACAAGUACCUAUAAGGUGUGGUAGUGGUAGAUUCAUAGCAACAUCCUUCAGUAGAGAAUUACCAGAUGAUGUCUUGGACUUCCUUGCUGGCACAUCCACUUGUAAAAGAGCUUUUCUGCAUUCUUGUCACUGCAGGUGAUGUGUAUAUAUAUUUUUUUACCUAAUCAAAGAAAAGAGGGAGAUCAGAAUGAGAUUAGAAAGUAUCAUUAUAAAGAAAAGAGGCUGUGUUAAAUUACAGGAGUGUGAAAAAGCAAUAUUAUGAGCCCAAGGGAGAGCUUAUGUAAAAAAAUUCGGAAGGUUUUCAAUUAGAGGUGCAUGGUAUAUUGUAAGAGAAUCACCACUGCGUUCUGAACACAACUUGAUAUGCUCCCACUGGUUGCCAAAGUGAUACGGAGCUUUCUGCCCUCAGGGGUUAUGAUCCUCCCUACAUGUUUCUCAAAAGGGAAGCUAGCCUGGUGUGUCACUGACUGUCAUCCUUUUCUGUUUUGUUUAAUGUACAUACAACUGCUACUUUGCUGGCUGUGCAGUACCUCUGACCAUGGUAACCACUGCUUUUCCCUUGUCAAGCCACAAGAGCUUCAUUCUGUGAACUAGCUCUUCAUGUAAACUCAGGAGUACUGUGCUGCAUGUGAGUUUAUUGAUCUGUCCUUUUUACCCAUUCAAGAGUGUAUAAUCCUUGGCUUCAUAUGAAUAAUCUCCACGUGUGGAAAAUGUUCAUGACACUGUAUUGGUAGCUAUUACUUAAAAUAUCACAGAACCACCAAGGUUGGAAAAGACCUACAAGAUCAUCCAGUACAAUUGUCCACCUACCACCAAUAUUUCCUCACUAAACCAUGUCCCUUAACACAACAUCUGAGCGUUUCUUGAACGCCUCCAGGGACAGUGAAUCAACCACCUCCCUGGCCAGGCUGUUCUAGCAUCCAGCUACUCUUUUGGAGAAUAAUUUCCUAACGUUCAACCUGAAUCUCCCCUGGUACAAACUGAGGCCAUUCCCU
RNAcentral lists this long non-coding RNA (1200 nucleotides) under Numida meleagris (helmeted guineafowl). Its description in RNAcentral is "lncRNA (ENSNMEG00000014608.1)". The record is from RNAcentral. Lineage: Eukaryota; Metazoa; Chordata; Aves; Galliformes; Numididae.